GGCGCUGUUGCCCUGCUGGAUCAGGGCGUCGAACUCGGGGUUCGAGUAGAACGUGGCGUUCGAACCCGCCGGCGGCA
Molecule: transfer RNA, 77 nt
Filed under: Blastococcus sp. VKM Ac-2987
Lineage: Bacteria; Bacillati; Actinomycetota; Actinomycetes; Geodermatophilales; Geodermatophilaceae
Description: tRNA-Pro
Source: RNAcentral